CACGUAGGGACCAAGCGUUGUCCGGAUCCAUUGGGCGUAAAGAGCUCGUAGGCGGCUCAGUAAGUCGGGUGUGAAACCUCCAGGCUCAACCUGGAGACGCCACCCGAUACUGCUGUGGCUAGAGUCCAGUAGGGGAGCGUGGAAUUCCUGGUGUAGCGGUGAAAUGCGCAGAUAUCAGGAGGAACACCAGCGGCGAAGGCGGCGCUCUGGGCUGGAACUGACGCUGAGGAGCGAAAGCGUGGGGAGCGAACAGG
Molecule: ribosomal RNA, 254 nt
Filed under: uncultured bacterium
Lineage: Bacteria
Description: partial 16S ribosomal RNA
Rfam family: Bacterial small subunit ribosomal RNA
Source: RNAcentral